This 253-nucleotide ribosomal RNA is filed under the name uncultured bacterium. RNAcentral's name for it is "partial 16S ribosomal RNA". It matches the Rfam family "Bacterial small subunit ribosomal RNA", at positions 524 to 776 of the family's 1533-position model. The record is from RNAcentral.
UACGAAGGGGGCUAGCGUUGCUCGGAAUGACUGGGCGUAAAGGGCGCGUAGCCGGCUCAUACAGUCAGAUGUGAAAUUCCUGGGCUUAACCUGGGGGCUGCAUUUGAUACGUGUGGGCUUGAGUGGGGAAGAGGGUCGUGGAAUUCCCAGUGUAGAGGUGAAAUUCGUAGAUAUUGGGAAGAACACCGGUGGCGAAGGCGGCGACCUGGUCCUUGACUGACGCUGAGGCGCGAAAGCGUGGGGAGCAAACAGG